CAGUAGAAAUGGGAAGCAUGGCCAGCAGCCACAACAGCAGGAUGCGGUCCAAAAGGGUAUUUCUAUUAUUGUGGAUGGUGAAACACCAUAAUUAGGCGUAUGCUUUUAUUGCUCGUUAUUAGUCUCAUCAUGUAGAAGAAUGAAGGUAUAGUUUUUGUUGACGGAAGUUGAGUAACAGGGCAUGCUAAUGAGAGAUGCAGUGAUGGUCUUAUCCAGUCAGCUGCUGGUCUCAUCAUUUUCAUUUAUCGAGAUGGAUAGAGUUCUUGUACAUUUUGGGCUAAACAUAAAUGAAG
Molecule: long non-coding RNA, 293 nt
Filed under: Elaeis guineensis (African oil palm)
Lineage: Eukaryota; Viridiplantae; Streptophyta; Magnoliopsida; Arecales; Arecaceae
Description: long non-coding RNA (EGUI_LNC003393)
Source: RNAcentral